ACAACAUUCGGACCGACGGUCUACCGAGCAAAUAUCACCCGCUCAAUGGAAGAUCUUUUUUUUUUUUU
Molecule: microRNA precursor, 68 nt
Filed under: Bombyx mori (domestic silkworm)
Lineage: Eukaryota; Metazoa; Arthropoda; Insecta; Lepidoptera; Bombycidae
Description: mir-2774 microRNA precursor family
Rfam family: mir-2774 microRNA precursor family
Source: Rfam by way of RNAcentral